This 281-nucleotide ribosomal RNA is filed under the name uncultured fungus. RNAcentral describes it as "partial 18S ribosomal RNA". It matches the Rfam family "Eukaryotic small subunit ribosomal RNA", at positions 932 to 1214 of the family's 1831-position model. Lineage: Eukaryota; Fungi. The record is from RNAcentral.
ACGACGAACUUUUGCGAAAGCAUCUGCCAAGGAUGUUCUCAUUAAUCAAGAACGAAAGUUGGGGGAUCGAAGACGAUUAGAUACCGUCGUAGUCUCGACUGUAAACGAUGCCGACUAGGGAUCGCGCGGUGUUGAUUACGACCCGCGCGGCACCUCGCGAGAAAUCAAAGUGUUUGGGUUCCGGGGGGAGUAUGGUCGCAAGGCUGAAACUUAAAGGAAUUGACGGAAGGGCACCACCAGGAGUGGAGCCUGCGGCUUAAUUUGACUCAACACGGGGAAAC